AUACGUAGGUGACAAGCGUUAUCCGGAUUUACUGGGCGUAAAGGGCGUGUAGGCGGUCUUGCAAGUCAGAAGUGAAAUUCCUGAGCUCAACUCGGGCGCUGCUUCUGAAACUGCAGGACUUGAGUGCUGGAGGGGAUAGCGGAAUUCCUAGUGGAGCGGUAAAAUGCGCAGAUAUUAGGAAGAACACCGGUGGCGAAGGCGGCUAUCUGGACAGUAACUGACGCUGAGGCGCGAAAGUGUGGGGAGCAAACAGGAUUAGAUACCCUGGUAGUCCACACUGUAAACGAUGAAUGCUAGGUGUAGGAGGUAUCGACCCCUUCUGUGCCGCAGUAAACACAGUAAGCAUUCCGCCUGGGGAGUACGGUCGCAAGAUUAAAACUCAAAGGAAUUGACGGGG
RNAcentral lists this ribosomal RNA (397 nucleotides) under uncultured bacterium. RNAcentral describes it as "partial 16S ribosomal RNA". It matches the Rfam family "Bacterial small subunit ribosomal RNA", at positions 523 to 918 of the family's 1533-position model. The record is from RNAcentral.